UACGGAGGGUGCGAGCGUUGUCCGGAAUCAUUGGGCGUAAAGGGCGCGUAGGUGGCCCGGUCAGUCUUUGGUGAAAGCGCGGGGCUCAACCCUGCGUCGGCCAGGGAUACUGCCGCGGCUCGAGCACUGUAGAGGCAGGCGGAAUUCCGGGUGUAGCGGUGAAAUGCGUAGAUAUCUGGAGGAAUACCGGUGGCGAAGGCGGCAUCCUGGACCGGCAUUGACGCUGAGUGAGCGAAAGCCAGGGGAGCAAACGGG
Molecule: ribosomal RNA, 255 nt
Filed under: uncultured bacterium
Lineage: Bacteria
Description: partial 16S ribosomal RNA
Rfam family: Bacterial small subunit ribosomal RNA
Source: RNAcentral